Long non-coding RNA from Symsagittifera roscoffensis, 1292 nucleotides. RefSeq lists it as uncharacterized. The transcript has 2 exons. The record is from RefSeq and is a predicted model, not a curated record. NCBI's taxonomy places the organism in Eukaryota, Metazoa, Xenacoelomorpha, Acoela, Convolutidae.
UCUCGGAAAUUCAAAUGUUGAUGUUUUUUUCUGUUAACUUGCGUUCAUUGACUCUUUUCCAAAUGUCAGUUGGCCAUGUUUAAUUUUGAAUUUAGUGAUUAUCGCCCUUGUCUGUACGCCAACUUUGUUUAACAAGCAUGAAACUCAUUAGUGUCUCAUUCUGUGACGUCUUCGUAAUGGCCUAUGAGAAGGCAGGAAAAUAUGAUACUAUUAGCUAUGUUUUCCGUGUGCAGCCAUGCAUCAUGGCUUAAAUGGUUGAACAGGUGAACCAUUUAUCACCGUGUUUCACGUUGUUAUACAACUCUUAUACGUUAUAUAUUUCCUUAUGGAAAUCUUCAAUGCUGAAUAAAAGCGUGCAAUAUGGACCAGAAAACAGAGCGGACCGAAUCUUUUUUGACAAUUCCAGAAGGAAAUGUCGAAGUUCUAUCAACUAGCAGCUUGACGCCGGUUUUCCCAACGAACGAAAGAGCGCAGCAAAGCGGUAUCCGAGAAAGCAAAAGUACGCGGCUUUUAUACAAAAAGAGGUCAAAUAGUGUCGAUUCGCAGCCAGCUUUUGAGCGCAGUUCGCAAGUACAAAUCCAACACAGUUAUGAUAAUUUUUCAAACGCUACGCUUAAACCUUUGCUAAAGCCUGAAGUCUCAUCAAAAUACAUUUACGUGACACUAAUUCUGAUAGCUUGUGGAACUCUAUUCGCAAUAGCAACUAAUUUGGCGAACCCAGUUUUCAUUUUGCAGCAACUCGAUGAAACAGUUACGGACGAAGUUGGCAAACAGUUAAAAGAUCUUGAGUUGGAUUCAAAAAAUUGCCCUGAAUUGUGGUUACCCUACAGAAAAUCAUGCUACCUUAAGCUACGUGACGAAAUAUUUCGAAAUUUUUCUGUUGCAGAUGGCUUGUGCUCUAAUGAAUUGAAUGGUUUUUUGGCGCAUCCUAGAUCGAUAGCAGAAUUUAAUAUUCUGAAGUCUCUUUCAAGUGGAACUUCAACAGAUGAUAUAUAUUUGUGGCUAGGAGCUAACAGACAAACUGAUUCUUGGGUUUCAGUUUUGAACGAGGAUAUUGGCCAUGUUCUGGAUCCUUUCUGGGAAAAUGAUUCCAUCGAAACAGGAAACAUUUCACUUUUAGAAUGUCUUGCAUUGUCAAAUGAUGGGUAUCUUCGUCCAUUGAACUGCUCAGAAGAAGACUAUGGAAUCGUUUUGUGUGCAAUCGAUGUAGAUUAGCCACACGAACUCAAAAUUUGUAAUAAAUGAUUAUUAAAUGUUAAUGAACGAAGUGAAAUUUCAUUUAUUUAGGGCGU